Molecule: ribosomal RNA, 200 nt
Filed under: uncultured bacterium
Lineage: Bacteria
Description: partial 16S ribosomal RNA
Rfam family: Bacterial small subunit ribosomal RNA
Source: RNAcentral
AGAGUUUGAUCCUGGCUCAGAACGAACGCUGGCGGCAUGCCUAACACAUGCAAGUCGAACGCUUGGCUCUGGUUCGCUGGGGCCAAGAGUGGCGCACGGGUGAGUAGCGCGUGGGAACCUGCCCUGUUGUGGGGGAUAACCGAGGGAAACUUCGGCUAAUACCGCAUAAGCCGGGAAACCGGGAAAGAUUUAUCGCGACA